This 14387-nucleotide long non-coding RNA is filed under the name Ananas comosus (pineapple). RNAcentral describes it as "long non-coding RNA (ACOM_LNC020360)". The record is from RNAcentral. Lineage: Eukaryota; Viridiplantae; Streptophyta; Magnoliopsida; Poales; Bromeliaceae.
GUGUUUUUUUCUUUUUUUUUUUUUUUUUUGGGUUAAAUGCAUGCAUGUUUUUUUAAAUAUAGUAAAUUACAAAUGUGUUCUUCCAAUAUUCAAUUUUUAUAUAUUAUUUUUAAUUUUUUAUAAAAUUUUUAAAAUUUUCAAAUAUUUUUCUCUGAUUUAUUAUCAUUAUAGAAUUAUUUAUACUUUAAAUAAAUAUUAAUUUUGCCAUUACAAAUAUGUCCCUCCAAAAGCCACAAUAGUAUAAUGUAAGGGGCGUCAAAUUAUCUCAAAGUUAAGUAUUUAACAUGUGAUUAGCUAAAGUUUGCUAACGUAUUCUAACGGUAAGGAUAUAUUUGAAAAUAUUAGAAUUUUUGUAAAAAUAAUAUAUAAAAGUUAAAGUUUAUAAAAAUAUAUUUAUAAUUAACUAUAUAUUUGCAGGAAUUUGCAUGAAAUUAUUUUUACAAAAAUUCUAAUAUUUUCAAAUAUAUCCUUACCGUUAGAAUCCGUUAGAAAAAAUUAAUUAACCAUAGAUUAAAUACUUAACACUGGUUAGUUUUUGACAUUUUUCCUCUUUUUAUAUUAUAUUGUUAUGCCUUUUGGAGGGAUACAUUUGUGACAAUAAAAUUGAAAAUAUAAACAGUUUUAUAACGGUAAUAAACUAGAAGGAUAUAUCAGGGCUUUUAUAUGAAUAACAUAUAAAAGUUGAACUUUGUAGGGAUAUAUUUAUUAUUCAUUAUAUUUGUAGGGACCUGUAUGAAAUUAAUUCUAAAUCUUUUGACAAUAUCCCCAAUCAAAAGUUGGCUUAAAAGGCCGGAAUUUUGAUUUGUAUUNCGAUAUUUUAUAUUUUUUAAAUUUAAAUUUGAUCUAAAAUUUAAAGUUUGAAAUUUAAAAUUUAAAUUUUUAAAUUUAAAAUUUGAGAUUUUAAAUUUUAAAUUUUAAUUUUAAAAUUUGAAACUUAAAAGUUAAAAUUUUAAAUUUUAAAAUAUAAAUAUAAAAUAUAAAAUUUAAAAUUCUAAUAUAAAGAAAAAUGAUAAUAUUAUUAUUUUUUAUUUAUAACUAUCCACUUCAAUUCUUAUUCCAUCUUACCGAACCAAAUGUUAUUUUUCUUAUUCUCAGGAAUAACCUAAUUUUCAUCCAAAUGUAAAAUUAAUCUAAUCCCUGCUUAUACCUCAAUUUAUACCUAUUCCUGGAAUACCCAUUUUUUGCUUAUACUCGAAUCAAACGAUACCUAAGUUUAUUAAAUUUUCAUUAUUGUACCUGUAAUUUUGAAGUUUUGGUUUUAGCUUGUCAUAGCGCUGUAGACCGUAUUUUUAUGAAUAAAUCUUUUAUUUUAAAUUAGAUUGAAAAUGAGAUAUAAAAUAAAUGAAUAUGAUAUUGUACUGUACAGUAUAGAUAUACGAAUACAAUAGAUGCAAGUAAUAAUACCGUCAACAACCUUUCUAAUGGCAAGGUACCAUAAGGAUACUAGAAGGUCAAAAAUAUCUUAGAUUACAAAAAAAAUCUAUUAAAAAGUUUAUUAACUAGUUGUAAAUAUUAUCUUUUUUUAAUCAAAUAUAAGAUAUAUCUAAAUUCAAAUCUUUUCAUUCCGUGAAAUCAUAAUUAAAUAUUUAUUUUCUAUCAAAUUGAUCAAUCGAGUAAUAUAAUAAAUUACUCCUAACUAAAAAUUUCUGUGUUUCUGAAAAAUUUAUGAAUUUAUCAUGCAAAAAAAAAAAAAAGGAAAAAUGGGAGGACAUUUAAUACAGGUUUGGACUUUGGGACCCCAAAAUAACGGACAUGUAGUUAUUAUGAGAAAAUUAGAAAAAUGCCGUGGCCAAUUUUGUUGUCCAGUGCCUUUGAUUUGCUGAGGUAAAUAUUAAAUUUACAUACAUAAAAUUAAAAAAAUACAAGUAUAAUGUCAAAUUAUCCGGUUUAUGGAGGGGCUUUCUGUAAUUCGUCCCUCCGGGCUAUAGCCGUUGACUCAUAGUGCAAAACAACCUUUCCGUUCCCGAGCAUCGCACGCCACACACAUCUCGGCCCACCCACGCGCCGAACAUAGAAAUAGUAGAAUAUAUAGAUUAUAGUAUGCUCUCAUUCCAUUAUGCGCUAAUGACGGACAGUUUCUUACUUGAUGUAUGUUAUCACAUACAGAAAUUUAAACGUGGUUUAUUAACGGUGUGGACGGGUAACCUCACCCACCCGCGGUCCUUACUGUUGGCUUAAACGGUUCGGCAUCCUGUCUUGUGGCGGAGGCCGAGUUGGAUCGAGUUACGUUCGAAAUGAUGUGAGAUUGGAUAGAUCGAGUUAUGUGUGAAGUCGCGUGAGGCCGGAUGGACCGAAUCACAAUUACGUUUUAAAUAAAUUGGUUGCGUAUCUAACAGCUAGAGCUUUUGGGAUUAAUAAUUAGCACUAACAAUCUCAUCCUUACGAGAAAAAAUUUACUAUAUCAUCAAAAAUAAAUUAAUCAUAUCUCUUCCUUAAAAAAUCAAGGACAACAAAAAUAUUUUUUAUAAUUAUAAUGAGACGAAUAAAUUUAAAAAAAUUAUUCGAUUGAUGAGGAACACUGUUUCGCUAAAAAAAUUAUUCGAUUGAUUAGGAACACCGUUUCACUAAUAUAACUAAUGUAUUUUAGAAAUUUUCCUUCUUAUUCUCACUUCUUUUUAUCCACCUACUCCACCUCAGAAUUAAAGUUUAUAAUUUUAAAUUUUAAAUUUCAAACUUUAAAUUUAAGAUCAAAUUUAAAUUUGAAAAAUAUAAAAUAUCAAAUUUUAAAUUUCAAAUUAAAAUAUCAAAUUUAAAAUUUAAAAUUUAAAAUUUAAAAUUAUAAAAUUUAAUUUUGAGACUAUAAAUUAUAAAUUUUAAAAAAUUAAAUUUUUAAUUUUUAAAUUUUUAAAAUAAGAAUAGGGGUGGGAACAAUUAAUAAAAAUAAUUUAUUAUAAUAAAUUUAUAAAUUUUUUAAAAAUUCUACUUAAACUUAAAUUUAAUAAAAAGAAUUUAUUAUAAUAUUUAAAUAUAAUUUACUAUAAAUUUUAUUAUAAUAUUUAAAUAUAAAUAAUAAUUAUUAAUAUAGUACAAUUAAUAAUUUUAUAAUAAAAAUAAUGUAUUAUAAUAUAUAAAUUUUAAAAAAUUAAAUUUUUAAUUUUUAAAUUUUUAAAAUAAGAAUAGGGGUGGGAACAAUUAAUAAAAAUAAUUUAUUAUAAUAAAUUUAUAAAUUUUUUUAAAAUUCUACUUAAACUUAAAUUUAAUAAAAAGAAUUUAUUAUAAUAUUUAAAUAUAAUUUAUUAUAAAUUUUAUUAUAAUAUUUAAAUAUAAAUAAUAUGUAUUAAUAUAGUACAAUUAAUAAUUUUAUAAUAAAAAUAUUGUAUUAUAAUAUAUAACAUAUUAUAUUUAUAUAAUUUAGUUUUAAUUCAAUUUAUAAUUUUAAUUAAGUUUGAAAUUAAGAAUUGGAAUAGUGCUAUUCCACAAAAAUUGUGGAAUAGCAAAUCCCUUGCUAUUCCGGGAUAACCGGGAAUAGCAAGAUUUGACCGGGAUAAAAUAUUCCGACUAAAUUUUAUCCCGUUUGGCGGAAUAGCGGGGAUAACGAAAGUUAUUCCCGCUUAUCCCCCAACCAAAUGGGGCCUUAGAUACUCAUUUGCAAAGAGCCAUAGUUUACCAUAGAUAGAUAGAUAGAUUUCCUCCUCAACUAUUGUUUCUUUCUUUAUGUUUUUGGUCAUGUUGACAUAUAUACGGGGAUAAAUAAAUAGUUACAUAAACAUGAGCGUGCCUUCUAUGGAACAAAUUCAAAUCCUAGUUCUCUUUGUCUUUCUCUUGAUUAAUUUGGUCAAAUAUGAAAGACUCUUGAUAGAGAAACCUAUAUAUGGUUAGGGAGAAACCUAGUGUAGCUUAUAUAAAUAGCAAGAAAUCAACCCACGUGAUAAAUUUCAUUGGUUAUGCAAAGUAAUUAAGGCUCGAUUUGCACGUUGAGAAAAUGCAAUAAAAAAAUAUUAUAUUUAUUUUCGCAUAUAAUAUCACGUUCUGUAUAUCGUGCUGAGUCAAUUACGACAUAUUUUCUAUCCUCUUAUUUAAAAUACGCACAUAUUUUUGUCUCAAAUUUAUUUUAUCUAUUAGCCUUAGAUGAAUCUCACUAACUUAAAAUCUGAACUCCGAAUCCUAGCUUGAAUCCGAAAAUCCGAACCGAACCAUUAUUCCUGUUUACAAUAUUUCAAAAUAUAUUAAAUUAAAUGUGAAUAUUUAAAAUACAUAUUCAAAUAUAAUAUCAAAUAUUUAUAUAUAUUAUAUAUAACGUAACAUAAGUUCAGGUACUAAUCGGUUUUGGAUUCGGAUCGGAUAUAAUCAAAAUUCAUAUCUGAAUUCAAAUUAUUCGGAUUUUCGUUUUUGAUAUCCAUAUCCAAAAGUAUAUACAUUUAGCAUAAGUAAAUUCACUGUAUUCGCUUUCGGGUUUGAAUUCCGAUUCGGAUAAAAGAGUAAUAAAAAAUUUCUUUUAUUUAAAUUUAAUUUUUUUAAAUUUAAAUAUUAAAUAUUUAAAUUUAACAUAUUUAGAAAUAUUAUUAUUUCUAAAAUUUAAAUUAAUGCUUAAAUUAAAAGAAUUCUAAAAUUUCUAAAAUUAAUGUCUAAAUUAGCACAAAAUUAAUGCCUAAAUUUGAGAUAUCAAUUAAACCUUAAAUUAAUGCUUAAAUUAGUGCAAAAUUAAUACUAAAUUUGAGAUAUCAAUCAAAACUUUUUAAAAAUUUUAUCUAGUUUAAUUAAAAAGCAUUCUCAUAUAAAAUAACCUUCUAACCUACUACAUAAUAACAUAAUUUUUUAUUCUUUAUUAAUCAAUAUUUUUUUUUGUUUUUUAUAAAAUAAAAUAUCGAAUCAUUUCUCUUGUAUUAUUUGGACCACAAGCAAUCAUGGAUUGCAGGGGCUUAAGUUAUAAAAGGUACUGAAAUUAAAUCACAAACACCAGGCAUGAGUCGUUCAUCGAUCCUUUAUUGGCCUUUUACUGCUAGCCAUUGAAACCCUCAACAAAACAAAUUAAAAAUAAUUAAAAAAAAAUUAAAAAUGAACAGAGCUUGCAAGUUAGCUUUAAAAGUGUCCUUCUAUUCAAACUUAAAGCUAAUAAUAGUAACAAUAGUAAUAAAGAUAAAAAUGGUGUCUUAUCUUUUGAUCAGACCCCAAAUAUCUCUUCAUAAAUUUUUUUUAUUUAUUCUUUUGAUAAAUUUUCUUCCUUAAUAUUGAUCUCUUCUCUACAUUAUUUUAUUUUAGAUUCUGAAUUAUAUAAUUAAUAUCGGUAUAAAUAUCAGUUUUAAUAAAUAAUAUUAGUGCAAAUCAUACUUCCAACAGAUAGAAUAUUCAAAAGGCAUAGAAAAACAAAUUAAUAAAACUGGCCUUUACGAUCACCACCAACCCAUGAUGCACACAACGACGGUCCACAGCCUCAAUUUAAAUGUGGAGAUAAACAAGGAGACACGUUGGUGUACGAAUCAUAUAUAAUUCAAACAUGUCAGCUUUACUCAUCAAUCACUGGUAGAAUUUGUCCCACUCCUAAUCUGUUAUGCUAAACAAAGAGACUAUUCUGGCGGCAUAGGAGUGGAAUAUAUGCCAUAAAACUAAUAUAUAUAUAUAUAUAUAUAUAUAUAUAUAUAUAUAGAGUAGGCUGUAGGGUUAGAAUACUUUUACAAGUAUCACCCAAGUGAUACUUGUGUAUUUUUAGCCCUUGGAUGGAGAGAUGUGAGGUUGAGAUGAUGGGGGUAGGUGGUGGUAGGUGGGGGUAGGUGGAAUAGUGUUUGAUCCAAGAACUAUUUGUAAUCAAAAAGUAGAUCUAAUGGCUAAAAAUGUGAUAGCAACAUGGGGAUGAUACUUGUAAAAGUAUCCUAGAUCAACUCUAUAUAUAUAUAUAUAUAUAUAUAUAUAGAGUUUGAAGCGCUGCUAUGCGGGGGGACUAUCGAAAGUACGGAGCCUUUCGUGCUUACAAGCUCGUUUUCGAUUUGCGACUUUCGAAUCGUCGAUCUUCGUCCGUUAAAAAAAAAAAAUUGAUCUAGCGAGUAUUGGUGUACCUAGAAAAUUAAAUUUUUAUGAUUUUUCGAUAUCAUUUGCUCUAGUGAUCGAAAUUGGCUCCACAAAAUCAACAAAUUUCAAUGGCCGCUAGUUGAGCCGUUUGCAAGUUUAAACGGUGUAGAAAUAUCCAAAAUCACGUGAAAUUUUGAUAGAAAAUGCUCUUAUAGCUAUUAAAACAGAGAUUAAUAUUUUUUAUUAAAAUUUUAUGUCAUAUUAUUACAGUUUGUAAGAUUUUUAUUUUCAGCCGUUAAUUUUGAGGCCCUUCACUUCACUAAGGCACAAAUAUAUCGUGAAAUCUAAAAUUUAUUUUUAGUACUCUAAAUACUCUAGAAUCAAGUUAACGAGGCCGUCGAUCGAUUCAAAAGUCGGCAACAUCGAAAACGAGCUGGAAGCACGGAAGGCUCCGUGCUUCCGAUAGCAUAGUUAGCCUUAACUUAUCUAUAUUAAUAUACUAUGAGAGAGAGAGAGUAGACGGGGAGAAGAGAGAGAAGAGGAGGAAGAUCGCGCGUCAACUGCGUAAUGGAUAAUUAGUUCAGUCGCUGGGAUUUGAUGAGAAGAGAGAGAGAAUAAGUCUCCUGUAUUUUUGAAAGUACAGAGAUCUCCGUACUUGUAAGUUAUUUUCGAUGAUAGAGAAAGUAUAACAGAACCGAUCGCCGAAUCGAAUGUCCUAUUAUUGAAAAUAACUUACAAAUACGGAGGCUUCCGUACUUUCAAAAGAAUAGGAGCCUAGCUCUAUAUAUAUAUAUAUGAGUGGGCCGGUAUGCUUAUGGAAGCACGGAGCCCUCCGUGCUUUCAAGUUGUUUUCGAUGUUCGGACUUUCGAAUCGACGAUCGGCUCCAUUAGAGUUGAUCUAGAGUAUUUGAAGUAUCUAGAAAAUAAGUUUUGUAAUUUUUCGAUAUCAUUUGGCUAGUUAUCGAAAUGGCUCAAAAUCAAUAAUUUAAUGGCCGUGGUGAGCCGGUUGCAAAUUUAACGGUGUAGAAAUAUCCAAAUCACAUAAAAUUUUGAUAGAAAAUUCUUUAUACUAUAUAAAACAAGAUCAAUAACUUUGAUCUAAAAUUUUAAUGUCAUAUCAUCAUAUUUUGUAAAAUUUUUAUUUUCAGCCGUUGAUUUUGAGCCACUUCGAUCACUAGGCAAAUGAUAUCGAAAAAUCGCUAAAUUUAUUUUUUAAAUACUUCAAAUACUUUAGAUCAAGUCUAACAGAGCCGAUCGUCGAUUCAAAAGCCCGAACAUCGAAAACAAAGUAAAAGCACGGAGCUCUCCGUGCUUCCAUAAGUAUCCUAGCCGCACUCUAUACAUAUUUGAGUUGCGCUGGCAUACUAUUAAUAGUAUUUGUACUAUUUUAUUAUUAAUUUUUUUACCAUUAAAUUUUUUGUUUUAAUUAAUUUUACUCUUUAAAUCAUACUAUUCAAUCAACCACCACUCAAUUUUAGAGUGACCACUAUCAUUCUAACCCUAUAAUUUUUCAUCCAAGGGUUAAAAAUUCGAUAGAAAAAAAGUCUAAAUACUAUUAAUAAUAUUUCAAUUUAAUUCUAUAUAUUUUUUCUAUAUAUAUAUAUAUAUAAUUUUAGAAAAUGAAGAAUUUGAACUAUUGGCUAAGUAGGUAUCACGAAUGUUAUCAAUUUUAUGAUGAUUUUAAAAUUAAGAGUCUACAAACGGAUUCAAAGAGUAUAAAGAACAACCCAAGUUCAUUUAUUAAUAUAAGCAAUGGUUCCGGAGUGUUUUAUUCUUCCAAAAAGUAUGAAAAUUUAUUUUUUUGUAAAAAAAAUACUCCUUUUAUGCUUUUUAUUUUUUGAAAAAAAUAUAAAACAAAAUUAUUAUUUUUUCAUAAAAUUUGGAAGAGAAGUUUUUCAAAAAAAAAAAACUAUUUUUUUCAUAAACCGAACUGAGGAAAUUUUUUUUUUCAACAAUAAAACUAUUCUUUCAAAUAUUUUUAAGAACUAAACGCAACCUAACAUGAAAACAAUGGACGUAAUUCUAAAACACAUCCAUCUAAUGGCCAAUUUUUUAUACUAGUUUAUUCUUAAAAAAAAAAUGAAGAAAUCAAGUAGUAUACUCUCUUUCUCUCUAAAACAAAUAUAUUUUGUACAAUAUUUAUCAAAAUUUUUAUUAAGAAAAUUCAGAAACAUUGUUUAAAUGUUUAACGAUGCCAAGAUGAAAAACUUCGGUGAGGAUUUUUUCAACAAUGCCUCAUUAAGAAGCUCUCAAUCCACUCCCGCCUAUCAAUUUUCUAAAACAAACACGUGGCAAAGGUCCACACUGGAUUUAUAUUUAGUUAUGAUUGUACAAGUAGUAUUUAUUUAUUAGUACAAGAUAUACAUUUUCUUAUUAAAUAAUUUAAAAAUAACUUAUUUUUUUUAAUUAUUUAUAACUAUAUAUUAUUCCUUAAUAACCGCACACGUGUCGCGAGGAGGCCGAGGUGCGGGCGAGGGUGCGGCGUUGGCGGCCAUGGGCGCGGGCGGAGCCGUGAGCAGGAGCCGGGGAGCAGCGCAGGGCACGUGCGCGGCGCGAUGCACGGGCGCUGCGGCAGCCCGGAAGCGGCGCGCGCAGAGCGGCGCGGCGGCUGCGCGGGCGGCCGCGCUUCCGGACGCUUGGCGUGCGACGCAAGCCGACUGCGGGGCGCAGGCGCGGGCGGGUGGGGUAGGGCGGGCACGCGAGGGCACGGCAUGGGCGGCUGGGCGAGCGAAAAAAAUCGCGGGGCCUCACCAGUAUGGAGGUGUUCACAGUGUCGACUCUCGUGGACCAAUGAGAGGGAGAUCCACUCAAUUCUUGUAUAAGUAUAAAAUAAAUUUUAUUGAUUUUUUUGAUAUCAUUGCCUAGUGAAUCGAUGGCCUCAAAAUCAACAUCAAAUGUUCAAUGGCUUGGUAGUGUGUAGCAAAUAUCCAAAUCACGUAAACUUUUGAUAGAAAAAUUCUUUAUACAUUAUAUAAAACAUUCAUAUUUUGUGAUUUAAAGAAUUUAAUAUAAUUAAUUACAUUUUGUAUUGAUUUUAUAUUCCCAGCCAUGAUUUUGAGCCCUUUGUUUAUUAGGGCAAUGAAUCGAAAAAUAAUAAAAUUUAUUUUCUACGGUAAUCCAAUUGACUCUCAAAUCAAUUUAACGGAGCAUCGCGUCGAAAGUCGCAACAUCGAAAACGAGCUGGAAGCACGAAAGGCUCCGUGCUUCUGAUAGCAUAGUAGCCUCGCUCUAUAUAUAUAUAUAUAUAUAAUUCAUUUAUUAAUAUAUAUUUAUUUAUUAUAUAUAGUAUUUUAUUUUUAUAUAGAUAUAUUAUUAUAUAAUAAUUUAUUAUCUAAUUUACUCCUUAUUUUUAUAAAAUAUAAAAUAUAUAAAUAAAUGUUAAAUAAUUUAAACUACUAGUAUUAGAUAUAAAUGUUAAUUUUAUUAUGUUGAGUAUUCACAUAUAAAUUGUACUUUAAAAAAUAAAAAAAAGGAUUGACGCAGCUUAAAUUAAUUUUAUAUUUGAUGAAAGUUAAUUGCAAGAAUCACAAGCAAUGAUUUCUCUUCUCAUUCACUAACUAUCGGGGGACUACGAUACCUACUAAAAAUUAUUUCACUAACUAAUGGGGAACUACUAUGUCUACGAAAAAUUUUUGAUAUACUUAUUUCAUCAUUUAUUAUUUCUCAACUCCUUAGACAUGCAUAUAUAUAUAUAUAUAUAUAUAUAUAUAUAUACAUAUAUAUAUAUAUAUAUAUAUUGCACCUUUAAAAUUAUUCGUAUUUCCAUAAUAUUUAUUGAUUAUUGAAAUUAAAAAUUUUUACAUAACUAAUAUUUAAAAUUAAUUUAAAAAACUAUCGUGCAUACUACGUGGGUCCUAACUUUAGUCAUUAUUAGUAGGGAUUUUUUGUAUUUUAGACCCCUGAACAAUUUUUAUUUUUAAAAUAGCCCUGUCAAAUUUUAAUUUGCAAAAUGUCUGGCCCUGCCACGCAGGCCGCCACGUCAGCCACGCGGGCAUUGCGCUGGGCCGUGUGUUAGUUGAAACACGCGUGAACCAAUUCAUCCGUUUCAACACGGUGAAUGGUCACGUGUUUAGUACGAUUUUGUUCGUAUUAUUUUUGUAUUAUUGAAAGUGAUAAGAGUAGGGAUGUCAAUAGGAUAUGGAUUCGAAAUAUUAUCCAAUUCAAACCCGAAUAUAUAUAUAUAAUUUUUUUAUUUAUUUAUACAAAUAUAUUAAAAUAUUUAAUAAUUUUUAUUUCUUAGAUCUUCAUCCAACAGCGGGUUUUUAAAGAUCUAUACCGUUGGUAUGAAGUCUAAGGAACAUAAAAAUUAUUAAAUAUUUUAUAUAUUGUAUAAAUAAAUAAAAAUAAAUUACGUAUAUAUAUAUAUAAUUUAUUCGGGUUUGGAUUCGAAUAAUAUUAAGAAUAUCUAUAUCUAUCGACAUCCCUACUCCUUAUUCCACUUUUCAAUAUACAAAAAAUACGUAAGAAACACGGUGAACCAUUCACCGUAUUUAGACACGGUGAAUGAUUCACCGUGUUCAACUUAAUACCCUGGCCCCAGCCCUGCCCGCGUGGCGCUGACGUGACGCCUGCGUGGCAGAGACAGGGCCAUUUUUGCAAUUUUAAUUUUAAUAGGGCUAUUUUUAAAAUAAAAAUUGCUCAGGGGGCUAUUUGCAAAAAAACCCCUUAUUAGUAUGUUGGCAUAUACGGUGAGAGCGAUAUAAAUUUACUAUUAAAUUAAAUCAACAAUAAUUAUGGAGUGUCUGUUGUAGCACUGUAAAUAAUUUACUAAAUAUUAAAUAUGGAGAGAAAGAGAGAGAGAGAAAUUAAUAAACGGGGGAGAGGGAUGGGACCCGCCGUACAAGGAUGCCGGGCCAGCUGGCCCGAGAGCGACGGCGUUACGACCCACAACAAAUGCAGAGGAGAAGAGCGUCGGGAUCCUCCGUACACCACCCACAACACCAAACACCAACACCACCCAAUAGAAUCUGAGGAACCGGGCGCACGCGACGCGUGAUUGGCGGAAUAUCUAUCUAUCUCGUUAUGCUCUCUCCCUCUCUCUCUUCCUUUUUUUUUUUUUUUUUGGCGUGGAAAAUGGAAAAUUGGGGGACGCGUUUUUGGCUCACAUCACGCAACAGGGACGGGUGACGUGGCACCGCGAAAGCGAAGCCCGAGUUUGAAUUUUGUCUCAUUGUAUUGUACACCAAUAAUAAUUAGAUAAAUAAACCUGAUUAAAGUUAUUUGAAAUUAAAAUUUUGAAUUUUUGAACUUCACCCUCAAAAUUAGGCCCACUCGUUAAAAUUAAACUUAUUUUUCAUGCGACGAACUAAUAAUAUAACAACGGUAGUUGAGCUCAGAACAAAUGAAUAAAAUGCUGGUUUUGAAGCUUCGAAACUCCUCUCGGCUUGCGCAUUAUUCGUUUCUGCUCACAGAAGUACGUAGCGAGAUGCUUCUGUAAAGCGAAAGCCAAUUUGAAAUUGGAUUGCGCUGCAAUUCAAUUGGGAUUUGGAAAGGUCCUGAUCUUUGAUGCCGUGGGUAAACAUGGUGGAUCAGGUGUACCGAAUAUUUUCUCCUACUUGUGAAAAACAGUUGGGUUUUAGCUUAAAUGGGCCGGGCCAGACCCAAAAGGCCGAGCGGGCUUUGCCACCCAAAUAUUCAGUAAUAAUAGACCGGCAAAUUUAUUUAUUAAAAUUCGUAUUUGAAUGACUCUCUAUUUGCAAACAUUCAUCAAUGAUGUAGAAAGUUUGUGAAAGUACUUGCAAAUUAACAUGACGUCGCUCAGGUUCUCUUCAUCCUUUUUAAUUCAUGUUUAGCGCGGAAACGAUUUUUUAUUUGUUGGGAUUAUUGAUUGCUCUAUAGAUUAUUAAUGAAGUGAUGAUGCUGAUGUACCAAAUCUUUGAUUUAAACAAUUAAUUAGGGAUCAAAUUGUAGAGGUUAACAUAUUGCAUGCAAAGGGGGAAAAAGAAGUCAAAAGUCAAAGUCAUCAUCAGUUUCUAAAUUUUCGACGCAAUGUCCUAUUUUAAUGAGCAAAAUAAAAAAGAUAACGAAAAGAGAGGGUGGAAGGUCAACUUUGUUAGGGAUCUUUGGAAAACAAGAAAUUUGCAACAUUGCAAAAGCACCUAACUGCGUUUGACUUUUCUAUUUAUAAGUACUGUGAAGAUAUAAUUGUGUUGUUUAAUCAGAUAUACACUACUUGUUUUCUUUUUAAAAGUAGAAAACUCUUACCGGAAAAGAAAAUGUGAUGAGCAAUCGUUUGUCACUUUUUCAGGCGUACAAAGAAGUAGAAUAUAAGAGGGUUAUAUAAUUGAAUGUAUAUUUUUUCGGCGACGUGUGCGACUAAAUACCUUGUAAAUUGCGUGUAUAUUUGAUUUGAUAAUAUAGUUUUAAUGGUUCAGUAUUUACUUUCGUCUAUUUCUAGAAGUCGGCAUGGUAUUUCUAAUUUCAAUUAGAAUCGAUUGGAGAAUGAUUUGAUGUGAGAAAACUACUGUUAGUUCUUGACCCAGUGAUGUAUAAUAAGGAGCAAUAAUCUUAUUUGUGAUUAACCAUCCUCGUCCAGCUUCAAAAAUCUCUAAUUAUUUGUGUUGGUUUCGAAUUGGCAAUGUGUUUUUCUUUUUUCUUUUUUUUUAAGAGUUUGUCCAUACAUGCAUUAUCUUGUCCCAGACUUCUCAUGAUAUAAUACAUAUCCUAUCAUAAUACGCGCCCAAAAACCCGGAGAGAGGCACAAGUCUCUCUUUCUGAAAGCACAGGUGGGGAUCAGAUUCACGAAUUGAAAUUUCAAAAUUUCAAAGUAUCGAACAAGAGUGAUUGAGGUACCUGAAAUAUAUCAUGAUUCACUUCUAUAUUUAAAAAAAAUUAGUGUUAGUACUAUUUUUAACAAUUCACAACUCUUAACUAGAGCCUAGAGGCUGCUGUGUAUUCCCUGGACAAACAGAAAAAGAAAAGAAAAGAAAAGAAAAGAGGAAAUAAAGUCCCUUUUAAUUUCGAUCCAAGCAGAAGCAGGGCAACAAACUAAUGCAUGCAUGCGUGUGCAGUUGAGCAUACGGUUCCCGAACAACAUUUGCAAAGUAACGCUUCUUUUCCGUAAACAUAGAGAUCAUGUGUCUACUACAGCUUUGGCCAGAGGAAAUUGUUGUGAACUUUCCACUUCCGAGAAUUAAUGAGCCUCGGUCAUGAGUAAAUAUUCCAAAUCAAAAUUACUUUUUCUCCUUUUUCUUUUUUUUUUUCUUUUUUUUUUUUUAAAUCAAUAGGUUUGGGGUCUAACUUGACGCCGACCUGAUCGGCUCGCAUCGACAAGCGGAACCAAUCAACCAAUCUUGGUUCUGGUUAAUUCGAUGCGCUACAUUGGUACAUACAAAGUGGUUAAUUUGACUCAAAUGUUACCCAACUUGUACGGAACCUGCAUUUGAUUAGAAUCAAAAUGUAAUCUUUUGUUUUUCGUGUUUUUUUUUUUUUUUCUGAGAAUAACUGAAAUGUAAUCAUUACUUUGUGUGUCACAAAAAUAAAAUCUAAACAAAAGUAAUUGCAUUGUACUGCUUCCAAAAGUGAACUGAUGACAAAACAACGCACCGCAGGCUUUUGGGGGAAGCCCCAAAAGCCCAAGAAUCGAUCAUGCAGUUUCCUCUGGUAUUUUUGUACACUUAUUUACUAGCCGCAACAGUAAAGGCUUUGGAUGCAUGGGCCUUGUGUUUGACGAGAAGCUGCUUCCUUGUACAGCCCAAGGCAAAAGGCGAAAAAAGGAAAGCCCGACGCAGCUUCCGCGAAAAGCACCAAAUCUUCUUGACUCCCUGCUGGUGGCUGCUGCUGCUGCUGCUGCUGCUGCUGCUGCAUCGCCCAACGUCGUCGAUCGAGGAAACUUAAUUCGCGAGCCCACGCGCCCCCACCGAUUCGAUCAGCUUUUAAUUGAAGCUCUCACAUUUCUCGUGAGAAGAUAUAUAUACAUGCGUGCACGUAUCUACUGCACCAGGUGCACCACGAACGAUCGAUGCCAAUCUCUCUCCAGAGCCACUCCUUUUUGCACCAUCCAUUAACUGUAGCAUGUAAUGGAUAGAGAGCGAGUGUGAAAUAUUAAACUCUAAAAAUUUCUAUUAUAAUAGCAAAACAUUGGUUGGUUGCUAUCAAAGCAAAAGGUUCUAUGUGUGUAUAUAUAUAUAUAUAUAUAUAUAGGUCCAAAAGGAUAGGCACUGUAUAUAAAAAUAUUUCCGACCAGCUCCAAUGUAGCAACUCUAUACUGAUUUUUUUUUUUUUUUUUUUUUUUNUUUUUUUUUUUUUUUUUUUUUUUUUUUUUUUUUUUUUUUGUUUUGAGAGAGAUAGGUAGCACGCUACCCACUUCGUUUAUUUCAUUUAGAAAUAAACUUCGCUAGAAAUGUGAAUCAACUAGGAUUCGAACUUGGAUCUCAGACACCAACCACUAAGCCCUUUGCCACUUACUCUAGGAGUGGUCACUGAUGUUGACAUUAAAACUAAUU